This is a non-coding RNA of Betaproteobacteria bacterium GR16-43, 2892 nucleotides long. The record is from Rfam. NCBI's taxonomy places the organism in Bacteria, Pseudomonadati, Pseudomonadota, Betaproteobacteria.
GGUCAAGCGAAUAAGUGCAUGUGGUGGAUGCCUUGGCGAUAACAGGCGAUGAAGGACGCGACAGCCUGCGAUAAGCUGCGGGGAGCCGGCAAAUGGGCGCUGAUCCGCAGAUUUCCGAAUGGGGAAACCCGGCCUCUUUGAGGUCACCGUGACCUGAAUACAUAGGGUCAUAGGAGCGAACGCGGAGAACUGAAACAUCUCAGUAACCGCAGGAACAGAAAUCAACCGAGAUUCCCAGAGUAGUGGCGAGCGAAAUGGGACCAGCCGUCGAGUUUUAGCAGGUGCGUUAGCGAAAUGGUCUGGAAAGGCCAGCCGUAGUGGGUGAUAGCCCCGUACGCGAAAACGCAUCUGUGGAACUAAGCUCGAGACAAGUAGGGCGGGACACGUGAAAUCCUGUCUGAAGAUGGGGGGACCAUCCUCCAAGGCUAAAUACUCGUUAUCGACCGAUAGUGAACCAGUACCGUGAGGGAAAGGCGAAAAGAACCCCGGGAGGGGAGUGAAAUAGAUCCUGAAACCGCAUGCAUACAAACAGUCGGAGCCCGCAAGGGUGACGGCGUACCUUUUGUAUAAUGGGUCAGCGACUUACGUUCAGUUGCAAGCUUAAGGCUUGAUGCCGGAGGCGCAGCGAAAGCGAGUCUGAACAGGGCGUUCAGUAGCUGGGCGUAGACCCGAAACCGGUUGAUCUAUCCAUGGCCAGGCUGAAAGUGGGGUAACACUCACCGGAGGGCCGAACCCACGCCCGUUGAAAAGGUCGGGGAUGAGCUGUGGAUAGGGGUGAAAGGCUAAACAAAACCGGAGAUAGCUGGUUCUCCUCGAAAACUAUUGAGGUAGUGCCUCGUGUAUUGCCUGCGGGGGUAGAGCACUGUUAUGGCUAGGGGGCCGCUUAGGCUUACCAACCCAUGGCAAACUCCGAAUACCGCAGAGCAGCAGCACGGGAGACAGUCCCCGGGUGCUAACGUCCGGGGACAAGAGGGAAACAACCCAGACCGCCAGCUAAGGUCCCCAAUAUCGGCUAAGUGGAAAACGAGGUGGGAAGGCACAGACAGUCAGGAGGUUGGCUUAGAAGCAGCCAUCCUUUAAAGAAAGCGUAAUAGCUCACUGAUCGAGUCGUCCUGCGCGGAAGAUGUAACGGGGCUCAAGCCGAUAACCGAAGCUGCGGAUGCAACGCGUUAAGCGUUGUGUGGUAGAGGAGCGUUCCCUACGCCUGCGAAGGUGACUCGUAAGGGUUGCUGGAGGUAUGGGAAGUGCGAAUGCUGACAUGAGUAGCGAUAAAGCGGGUGAAAGGCCCGCUCGCCGAAAGCCCAAGGUUUCCUGCGCAACGUUCAUCGGCGCAGGGUGAGUCGGCCCCUAAGGUGAGGGCGAGAGCCGUAGCUGAUGGGAAUCCGGUCAAUAUUCCGGAACCGCCGACGGGUGCGAUGUGGGGACGGAGAAGGUUAUGCGAACCGGCUGUUGGAUGUGCCGGUGAAGCGUGUAGGCAGAUCCCUUAGGGAAAUCCGGGGGGUUAAUGCUGAGGCGCGGGACCAGGAGAGCUUGCUCUCUGAAGUCGCGGAUACCCUGCUUCCAGGAAAAGCCACUAAGCUUCAGCCCGUUGGGACCGUACCGCAAACCGACACAGGUGGGCAGGAUGAAAAUUCUCAGGCGCUUGAGAGAACUCAGGAGAAGGAACUCGGCAAAUUGACACCGUAACUUCGGAAGAAGGUGUGCCUCUGGUAGGUGUAGCGGUUUACCCGCGAAGCCGAAAGAGGCCGCAGAGAAUCGGUGGCUGCGACUGUUUAUCAAAAACACAGCACUCUGCUAAGACGUUGGAAGUCGACGUAUAGGGUGUGACGCCUGCCCGGUGCCGGAAGGUUAAGUGAUGGGGUGCAAGCUCUUGAUCGAAGCCCCGGUAAACGGCGGCCGUAACUAUAACGGUCCUAAGGUAGCGAAAUUCCUUGUCGGGUAAGUUCCGACCCGCACGAAUGGCGUAACGAUGGCCACACUGUCUCCUCCUGAGACUCAGCGAAGUUGAAAUGUUUGUGAAGAUGCAAUCUACCCGCGGCUAGACGGAAAGACCCCAUGAACCUUUACUGUAGCUUUGCAUUGGACUGUGACGUUGUCUGUGUAGGAUAGCUGGGAGGCUUUGAAGCGGUGCCGCUAGGUGCCGUGGAGCCAACGUUGAAAUACCAGCCUGACGACGUUGCGGUUCUAACCUGGGCCCCUUGACGGGGUCGGGGACCGUGCAUGGUAGGCAGUUUGACUGGGGCGGUCUCCUCCCAAAGAGUAACGGAGGAGUGCGAAGGUCACCUAGGUACGGUCGGAAAUCGUACUCAUAGUGCAAUGGCAUAAGGUGGCUUGACUGCGAGACUGACAAGUCGAGCAGGUGCGAAAGCAGGUCAUAGUGAUCCGGUGAUUCUGAAUGGAAGGGUCAUCGCUCAACGGAUAAAAGGUACUCUGGGGAUAACAGGCUGAUUCCUCCCAAGAGUUCAUAUCGACGGGGGAGUUUGGCACCUCGAUGUCGGCUCAUCACAUCCUGGGGCUGUAGCCGGUCCCAAGGGUAUGGCUGUUCGCCAUUUAAAGUGGUACGUGAGCUGGGUUCAAAACGUCGUGAGACAGUUUGGUCCCUAUCUGCCGUGGGCGUUGGAGAUUUGACGGGGGCUGCUCCUAGUACGAGAGGACCGGAGUGGACGUAUCCCUGGUGUACCGGUUGUCACGCCAGUGGCAUUGCCGGGUAGCUAUAUACGGAAGAGAUAACCGCUGAAAGCAUCUAAGCGGGAAACUCGCCUGAAGAUGAGAUCUCCCGGAGCUUCGAGCUCCCUGAAGGGUCGUGGUAGACCACCACGUUGAUAGGCCGGGUGUGCACGAGCAGUAAUGCUCUGAGCUGACCGGUACUAAUUGCCCGUGCGGCUUGACUCU